GUCAAUUGGGUUUAUGAAAUAACCCGAAUUUUUAUUUUCAAAGAUUUUUCAUUUAAAUUUAAUAAACUGACAGCGUGGAAAAUGUAUUUAAUUAUUUAAAUGCAAAUUAAUAAUUCGCACUGUGAUAAACCGAACUGAAAAAUCAGUUAAAAAUUCGAAAAUCAAAUGCAAACCAAAGAUUCGAACCGAAUCGAACUGAAUCGACCCAAAUCAUCUAGAAACAUCUUCUUUCUUUUAUCUUCACGCUAAACUCAUCUCACUCACUCAGUCCAGCACCUUCUGACCACCACGCAGCGCCACCAGACGCCACCAGCCAGCCUCGUCCUCCUCUCUUCUUCUUCUUCUCCUUUCUUCUUCUUUUCUUUCUUUUCUUUCUUUUUCUUCCCUGCGCUUGUGACUCCACUGCUGGCAGAAGCGGAUCGUGCCUCCACCAGCUCGAGCGGAGCUGUCGCGCGCCAGCACCACUCCUCCGCCGCUCCUCGUCGCAUCACGCCAGCAGCGGCGCUCCACCCUCUGCCAGAUCGCGCAUCGCGCAGCGCACAGCAGCCCCUAACGCAGCACGAUCUCCAGCUCGUCAAGCCGCCACCAGCCUUCUGCAGCAACGCCACAGCCUGCCGCUGCCACUGCCGUCGCUUCAGCGCGCCUCCAACAGGUCCGAUCUAUCGCCGCCGCCGCUUCUCUGCCACUGCCAGUCAGAUCGCGCCCCCCACCUACAGUCCCAGGGCGUGUA
Molecule: long non-coding RNA, 730 nt
Filed under: Jatropha curcas
Lineage: Eukaryota; Viridiplantae; Streptophyta; Magnoliopsida; Malpighiales; Euphorbiaceae
Description: long non-coding RNA (JCUR_LNC001275)
Source: RNAcentral